UAUAUAAUUGUUCAUGAGUUUUGUUUUUCGUCAGGCUUACAUAUCCUACAAAUAUUAAUAGUGCUAUAUCUAUUACACUCAAGACUAAAAAAUUUAUAUCCCAUAUAAAGGCCACACUGGACAAUUUGAGUUUUAAAUAACUCAAUGAUCAUAGAAGUCAGCCGAAGAUUAUCUAGCAUUCUUCUGUAGGUAUUCUGCGUAGGUAAAUUCUCUUUUUGCCAAAAAUGGGAGCUGAAAUUAUUGAAUUUUCUUUAAUAAAAGACUCUUAUCUAAUUUGAUUUUCAGGAGUUAUGUUCACAGAAGUUAUUUUUUUCAUUUAUUUAUCUCACACAAUGUUAGAUGAGAGAUAAUUCGUUUAUAUUGGUGCUUCUUGGUGGACAAUGAAAUGGGGUCAAUAUCUGUCAGCAUGUCCAUACAUCAGACACUAUUUUGUUUUAUAUGUACUCAUCUGACAUCAGGUGAAAAAGAGGGAGAUGAACAGAAAAGAAAUGCUGAUGUAUAUGAAAUACAUCGAAGAACUCGCUUCUAUUCUCAAUCUGAAAUUGGACUUCCCAAAAGCAUCUUCGAUCAUGA
Long non-coding RNA from Pistacia vera, 573 nucleotides. RefSeq lists it as uncharacterized. The transcript is spliced from 2 exons. NCBI's taxonomy places the organism in Eukaryota, Viridiplantae, Streptophyta, Magnoliopsida, Sapindales, Anacardiaceae. The record is from RefSeq and is a predicted model, not a curated record.